This 683-nucleotide ribosomal RNA is filed under the name Escherichia coli. RNAcentral's name for it is "partial 23S ribosomal RNA". It matches the Rfam family "Bacterial large subunit ribosomal RNA", at positions 547 to 1230 of the family's 2925-position model. Lineage: Bacteria; Pseudomonadati; Pseudomonadota; Gammaproteobacteria; Enterobacterales; Enterobacteriaceae. The record is from RNAcentral.
AACCUGAAACCGUGUACGUACAAGCAGUGGGAGCACGCUUAGGCGUGUGACUGCGUACCUUUUGUAUAAUGGGUCAGCGACUUAUAUUCUGUAGCAAGGUUAACCGAAUAGGGGAGCCGAAGGGAAACCGAGUCUUAACUGGGCGUUAAGUUGCAGGGUAUAGACCCGAAACCCGGUGAUCUAGCCAUGGGCAGGUUGAAGGUUGGGUAACACUAACUGGAGGACCGAACCGACUAAUGUUGAAAAAUUAGCGGAUGACUUGUGGCUGGGGGUGAAAGGCCAAUCAAACCGGGAGAUAGCUGGUUCUCCCCGAAAGCUAUUUAGGUAGCGCCUCGUGAAUUCAUCUCCGGGGGUAGAGCACUGUUUCGGCAAGGGGGUCAUCCCGACUUACCAACCCGAUGCAAACUGCGAAUACCGGAGAAUGUUAUCACGGGAGACACACGGCGGGUGCUAACGUCCGUCGUGAAGAGGGAAACAACCCAGACCGCCAGCUAAGGUCCCAAAGUCAUGGUUAAGUGGGAAACGAUGUGGGAAGGCCCAGACAGCCAGGAUGUUGGCUUAGAAGCAGCCAUCAUUUAAAGAAAGCGUAAUAGCUCACUGGUCGAGUCGGCCUGCGCGGAAGAUGUAACGGGGCUAAACCAUGCACCGAAGCUGCGGCAGCGACGCUUAUGCGUUGUUGGGUA